GAUGAACGCUGGCGGCGUGCCUAAUACAUGCAAGUCGAGCGAACAGACGAGGAGCUUGUUCCUCUGACGUUAGCGGCGGACGGGUGAGUAACACGUGGAUAACCUACCUAUAAGACUGGGAUAACUUCGGGAAACCGGAGCUAAUACCGGAUAAUAUAUUGAACCGCAUGGUUCAAUAGUGAAAGACGGUUUUGCUGUCACUUAUAGAUGGAUCCGCGCCUCAUUAGCUAGUUGGUAAGGUAACGGCUUACCAAGGCAACGAUGCGUAGCCGACCUGGGAGGUUGAUCGGCCACACUGGAACUGAGACACGGUCCAGACUCCUACGGGAGGCAGCAGUAGGGAAUCUUCCGCAAUGGGCGAAAGCCUGCCGGAGCAACGCCGCGUGAGUGAUGAAGGUCUUCGGAUCGUAAAACUCUGUUAUUAGGGAAGAACAAAUGUGUAAGUAACUAUGCACGUCUUGACGGUACCUAAUCAGAAAGCCACGGCUAACUACGUG
RNAcentral lists this ribosomal RNA (497 nucleotides) under uncultured bacterium. RNAcentral's name for it is "partial 16S ribosomal RNA". It matches the Rfam family "Bacterial small subunit ribosomal RNA", at positions 28 to 507 of the family's 1533-position model. The record is from RNAcentral.